ACGGAGGGUGCAAGCGUUACUCGGAAUCACUGGGCGUAAAGAGCGUGUAGGCGGGGAUAUAAGUCAGAAAUGAAAACCUAUAGAUUAACUAUAGAACUGCUUUUGAAACUGUAUACCUAGAAUGUGGGAGAGGUAGAUGGAAUUUCUGGUGUAGGGGUAAAAGCCGUAGAGAUCAGAAGGAAUACCGAUUGCGAAGGCGAUCUACUGGAACAUUAUUGACGCUGAGACGCGAAAGCGUGGGUAGCAAACAU
Molecule: ribosomal RNA, 251 nt
Filed under: uncultured prokaryote
Description: partial 16S rRNA
Rfam family: Bacterial small subunit ribosomal RNA
Source: RNAcentral